GGGGCUGACCGGUUUUGACAGUAAGUGUAAAGAUCGGGCUCGCAUGCAGGCUGGAGUAUGUACGGCCUUGAAAGAUUCAUACGAACCAUAAAUGGCGAAAAUUCUUACGCCAUGGCUGCCUAAUCUAACCUUUACGGGAUAGAAAGCUUAAAGGGUUGAGUCCGCCGUGGCGGAUUCCCCGGCCACAUCUCACCACCUGUGGUCUGAUCCGGGUGGAUCCGAGGUGUCGAUCAGGUCAGACUGCGAGCGGUGAUGCGAUUAAGCCGUUCUAAGAUCAAUCGAUAAGCUAGGUUCAGGUGUGUCAUCCAGCAUAAUCUAGUCGAAAAACCAACAGGUGACUAAGCAUGUAGACGGUACGGUGUUUCCUUAUCUGGACGCGAGUUCGAAUCUCGCCAGCUCCACGU
This 404-nucleotide transfer-messenger RNA is filed under the name Algoriphagus faecimaris. RNAcentral describes it as "Standard tmRNA". It matches the Rfam family "transfer-messenger RNA". Rfam says of the family: Bacterial tmRNA, also known as 10Sa RNA or SsrA, is named for its dual tRNA and mRNA-like properties. Its role is to liberate the mRNA from a stalled ribosome. The record is from RNAcentral. Lineage: Bacteria; Pseudomonadati; Bacteroidota; Cytophagia; Cytophagales; Cyclobacteriaceae.